GAUGAACGCUGGCGGCGUGCCUAAUACAUGCAAGUCGAGCGAACGGACGAGAAGCUUGCUUCUCUGAUGUUAGCGGCGGACGGGUGAGUAACACGUGGAUAACCUACCUAUAAGACUGGGAUAACUUCGGGAAACCGGAGCUAAUACCGGAUAAUAUUUUGAACCGCAUGGUUCAAAAGUAAAAGACGGUCUUGCUGUCACUUAUAGAUGGAUCCGCGCUGCAUUAGCUAGUUGGUAAGGUAACGGCUUACCAAGGCAACGAUGCAUAGCCGACCUGAGAGGGUGAUCGGCCACACUGGAACUGAGACACGGUCCAGACUCCUACGGGAGGCAGCAGUAGGGAAUCUGCCGCAAUGGGCGAAAGCCUGACGGAGCAACGCCGCGUGAGUGAUGAAGGUCUUCGGAUCGUAAAACUCUGUUAUUAGGGAAGAACAUAUGUGUAAGUAACUGUGCACAUCUUGACGGUACCUAAUCAGAAAGCCACGGCUAACUACGU
Molecule: ribosomal RNA, 496 nt
Filed under: uncultured bacterium
Lineage: Bacteria
Description: partial 16S ribosomal RNA
Rfam family: Bacterial small subunit ribosomal RNA
Source: RNAcentral